RNAcentral lists this long non-coding RNA (6194 nucleotides) under Brassica napus (rape). RNAcentral describes it as "long non-coding RNA (BNAP_LNC024300)". Lineage: Eukaryota; Viridiplantae; Streptophyta; Magnoliopsida; Brassicales; Brassicaceae. The record is from RNAcentral.
GACUAAAUCGAUCUAAAUUAAUUUAACUCUAUUAAAUUAAGUAAUAAAGUUAGUGCAAGUCCACAAAUUUGUAUAUUCUUUUUGUAUAUUUUGAUAAUUCAUUUAAAUAAUUUUAUAAUUAAUCCAAAAACUAAAACAUCUUAUAUAAAUAUAAAAUACAUCAAUUGUUCGUUAACCCCUAAUAGUUUAUAAUUAAUCCAAAUAACCCCUAGUUACCACCUAACAAUUUCUUGAACAUUGCUUGUGAUGGAAAUCAUAACAGGAGUACCUGGAUUUGUAUCAGCAAAUAUGCCGUACCACUGGUCAUCUGUAAUAAACGAUGUUGCUCUCUCAACUGCACCGAGGUAGACACCCGGUCCAAGGCUUGGAGGUAAAGGAUGAAACAUUUUCUGGCUUGGAUAGUCCAAAUCAACUGCCACAUGCCGGUUAGUAAGGAAACCGACCUGAUGGUUACCGGUUCUGCUUCUCACUAUAGCUCCCAACGUUCCAUACGUUUCUUGGCUUGCAACCUACACAAUGGAAAACAAAACUGAGUCUUUACUUUUGAGUUUUUGCAGAAGAGGGAGCAACAAUAAAAAGAAGAAGAAGUACCUGAGAACCAGAGCCGAUGCAUGGAUCACUUCCUCUCAAACCAUCUACAAGUUCAUUAUAAACCUGUUCCUUUGGCGUUGCAGCAGGAGCACCGUAAUAUUGGAACUCCACAACAUCUACAUCGCACCAAACCCCUCCAGGACCCUAUUAAGAAACCAACACAUCACCUAUCAUGCUCAUGUAUGUAGAAUGGAAUUAAAUUUCAAAGAUAACUAAACCUCAAGAGCGGAAGGAAGACACUGCAUUGGAUUAAGCCAUUGCCUAUGAACUUUCCUAGCAACAAACACGAGAAUCGCCGGAGUAUUUGUCAGAACACCACGCGUGAUCCUGAACCCAACUGCAGUACCAAGACUAAACCGGCGCAGGAUUUUACUAUGAAACGCUCUGAUAGUCAUGAGCUCAAGCAAGGUAGUGGCUUGCUGUCCUGAAGGCAACCUCCCAACGAUUUCAGGCAAAACACCUUUCUGGAGAUUAGCAAAGUAGUUAGCUCGGUCUUCCACAGCAUUGUUGAGGCGGCUGAGAGUAGGCCAGGAGAAGUAAGGGGCGUUGCUCUCUCCGUGCUGGAUGUUGAAUGCGAAUGGAUUAAGAGAAGAUGGGCUUGAAGAGGACGGAAGACUCAUGUGGUUGCAGUGAUGGUUGGUUCUCGCCAAAUCCGAAGCACGAACCUGAAAGAAAGAGAGCCAGAAAAAGUGUCUUUAGUAGGCUUGUUAUGCCUCCAAGAGAACCUGUUGCUGAAAAGGAUCCUUCUCCGGUCGCUGAACCAGUCAAUGAGGUAAUGGCGUUUCUAAACGAAUGUCAAAAACAUCUGAUGGAGCAAAAAAGACCAGAUACAGCUGAUCCUGUAAGGUUUGUUAAACCCAAGAAGAAAAAGGAAAAGAAUCAUUCAAAAGAGGCACUUGACAAUGGUGCGAUGAUUCCUUUUACCGAGACUAGUCCUGGUGAUAUGUCUGAUUGUGAAGAAGGGGUGGAACAUAAGCAACCAUUCAUCGACUUUAAGCGUCGUAGCCAAGCUGAAAAGAGCAAUCUAAAUCAAGAGUGUAAAGAGAGCCUCGAAGAUUCAGCUCCUCAGGACAAGAAAAGGAAGCUGCUGAGGCCAAGACUAAUCGAAGAUGACUCGGAAAAGAAUAGAGGAAACAAUGAUAAUCCUAUUGAAACUGACACGGCCCCAAAGUCAGCUACUGAAGUCCCCCUCCUUGAUCUCCUUGCACGGUUUGGUCAAUAACCAUUCACACUGAGAUGGAAACAUGGAAACAGUAAAGGACAGAACAAGGCCUCUAGGAGAGGAUAUGUAUCCAAUUGAAUGUGGGCGUUGAUCCUUGGCAGUUGUCUUUUAGUUUCUUCCUAAGAUGAAGGUGGUCAAUCUUUUUUAUCUGUAUCUUCAUAAACAUGGUGGUCAUAUCAUAUCUAGUAGCAUUGAACAAUGCUUACAUGCUUUGGCAAAAGAGCAGUUUCAAGUUAGGAUUGCUUUGGUUUUUUUUUGAUGGGAUUGCUUUCAAUCUCAUUACUAGAAUUUUGUAAAUGACUUUGCAUAAGGCAAUUGGUGAAGAGGAGGAAUCUCAAUUUUUAGGAUGAGACAGAGAUUUAUUUGUGUGGUUUAUUUUUAUUUCAUAAAGCAAAGAUAAACCAAUAUACAUGUCUCCUCAAGCUCUCAACCUCAAGGCUGCUAUGGAGAGAGACAGAAGUAACAAACAUUAAUGUAUCUAGUUCAUAGCGUUUGGUCCAAAGCAUCUGUUCCUAGUAAGAUCCCAAACCCAUUGAAUCAAAUAUUUUCUUCUUCCAACUCCAUUCACAUUAUACACACUUCUCCACCUAUCCUUGUACACAAUCCCCAUAUACCCACCUCCACCUCCUGAUCCAUACACUCCCAAACACAAAUCCGCUAUCUCGGUCGGCGCCAUUGCAUCUUCUCCUCCGUACCAUCCGUUCAACAUAGGGUUACUCGACACUUCCGCCAGCUCAUGAGCUAUCACACUGAUCAUCCCAUCGAUUCCCACCUCUCCAUUUGGUGGUUUCAUCUUCUCUCUGCUCACAAACCCGCUUCCUGGAAACGGUUUAGGCUGCGCAAAAGGGUACGCGCACAUCUCCGGACACUGUUUCCUACUGUUCCCGACCCACACGUACGGCACCGUUGCACCAACGAUGGUUGAGAAAGUGAAGUAAUGGAACCCGCAGAUGGCUCUGCAGAACUCUUGCAUCUCUACAUCGUCUGAGGUCAGGACCAUGUACAAGCCGUUGAGAGAGUUUAGUGGUAGCUUGUUGGCGACGGCAGUUCUGAUGAUGGACUGGACAGAGAAGCGACUGAGUUGAGAUCCAUGAGAGUAGGUUGAGUCGUGGAACUCUCCGGACAAGACAAGUGUUCUGGUGAUGUUGGAACCUGUUUGGUCUCUGUAAAGCCUCACCGUCUUCCACCAGUCGAAUACUGAAGGAUACCGUGCCGGUGAAGAGACGGAGUAGAUGAAGUCUCUGAUUGUAGACUGGUGAGUUGGGUUCCAUCGACCGUACCAUAUGAUGUAAAGACUAGUCUCAGGCGAGGAUAUGACCGGACCCAUGUGGUAUUCAAGGUUUACAAGAUCGGAGGAGCCUUCGUAGUUCUUGCUUUCGUCGUAGAGUUGUCCAUCGGAUGUGAAAGAGAGUGAGAGGAAGAACAAGAAGAUGAGAGAGAUCAUCUUCUCAGGGGUUUUGUUUGUGAUUUGGUGAGUGAAGAACUUGGAGAUGUUAUUGGUGUUAUAAAUAGAAAGGUACAUGCACUCCAAAGUAGAAGAUAUUAGAUUAGAAACUCCAUUUGUAUGUAAUUUUUAAGUUUUAUACAUUAUGAUAUAUGUAUAAAUCAAUGAGGCUGUCGGUUAAGUAGAACUUUUAAGCUUGAUUGGUGGCACUGUUAGGGUUAGACAUAGAGCCCCACUUGACCAAAAGCAUGUUUACCACUAAUGAUUUCUUGUCAAAACUAAUGAAAAGAGGUACUAUGACCAUUAUUACAUAAAAUAGUAUAAGAUCCAAUAUCGGAAAGUGAAAAGCUUUAGAUGUUAGCCUAGAGAAUAGAGUAACGCAUUAACAUAAAAUUUCAACAGAGUUGGGAAAUCAUCUGGCAAGUUAUUUAAAUCAAAGAAAACAUUUUGUAUAUUCAAAUCUAAUAGUAUAACUUUUGAAUUAUAUGCUAUUCAUAAGUUUUAGUAAAUCUACAAAAUUAACAUGAUCAGUGAUCAAGAUUUACCAUCUAUCAUCGCUAGUCAAGUCACUUUUACAGUUUGACUAAACCAAUGGAAAGUCGUUAAACCUUUAAUUUUUAGAUUCUUGACAUAAUAGUAGACAUUAUGCUGAACAGUUCUAUAUGUAUUAGAUUAAAAGUUUAAAUAAAUUUAUUUAUAUUAAUCUGUAAUUGCAUCUUAUAGAACUUGAACAACAUGUUUCUUUCUUUGUACAAAAACAUUAAUGAAUUUUGAUCAAACACCGGAUUAGAACUUCUGUAUUUGUUUAUAUUUAUGUCUUAUUCUAGUAAAAAUAGGUUUAAGAAAAAUUAUCUAUAAAAAUUCUUUUAGAAAAUUUUAAAUUUUUUUUCUCAACUUGGGAUCCUCCUGAUUUUCUGAAAUGAAUUACUUAAAUUGACAAAAGUUUUAUCCCCGUGGAAAGCGACCUUUUUGCUUUUAACCAACCAACGCUCUUUUUCCAGAUAUGCGGUAGUCGGAACUGUGUUCUAAUUGGCUAAACCGGAAAUCAAAAGUCAAAACUUCUUAACCGUUACUCGGUUUAAUGUCCCACAUGGGUAUUAGUAUUACCUUUGAAUUUCAUAGAACUUAUGUUCAUGCAGUUCUGCUACAGUCUUCGAAUGUUAUUUUCGUACUUAAAGAAUAAUAAUACUAUGAACAAUUACGACAUAAAAUUUUUAGGGGAUUUAAUCAAUCGCCAUCAAACCAAACCGAACCGGGAACUGGUAAAGGGGAUCCAUUUUCGGUUUACUCCCCUUAACUUUCAGCUAAAAAAAACUUUGGUUUCUUUAGUUUAGGCUCACCAAGGUGCAACGAGAUGCUAACCUCAUCUUCUUCUUCAGAACUGCUCUUUAAAGCGACAAGAUCAUCAACUUUGAGUUUCUCUUGCCUUUGACUAGUAGAAGUAGACUCGUUAAACGACAACGGAGCAAUGAACACAUGUUCCUCUACUUCAGGCGUUGGUUUGAUAGCCUCUUCUAUACGAAACUCAGGCGGUAUAAACGGCUCAAAGCUCUCAUCUUGUUUGUCUCCUGAAGCAACCGGGUCCGGUGGUGAUGACUGGCAAACCGUUGAACCAAUGGCUGUAACCGAAGUGUUUCUCUGUCCUCUAGCAGCUGCUUUACACAAAGCCAAAACCAAUAAGGACAUGAAAGUGUGGGAACGUAAUGAAACAUGAAAGAGUUAUAAACCUUCGAGUUCAUGGUUUGAUGUGAUGAGAUCUAGCUCCAAGAGAUCCAAAAGCCGACCAAGAUCGACCCCGCUUGUCCAGUUCUCAGGUUCUCGUCCUGCUAUCAGUUUCAGCCGUCCUCUGUUUGCUGUACCACCCCAAAUGAUCCCAACCGGUCGUGGUUUCUGACCGUUUGGACUAGUUAAGAGUAUAAGGCUUCCACUGUCACCUUCGAGGUCAAAAGUCUGCUGGUUCUCACCAAUGACUAGAAAAUCAGUGAGGAAACAGAUCCCUUUCUCGUCGUUGUAUUCCAAAGCAUAAGCCAUAACGGUUCCAGUGGUGUAUCCAGAGCUUCUUCCAACUUUAACAACUUGUUUACCGAUAAGGGUAUCAAUAGGUGAUUGCAAGUCUAUGACGUGGACGUUGCCUAUCUCACCUAUGCCCUUUAUCACUGUGGUUACAUUGCUCAUACUGAAAUUUUCUGCAAAGGGAAUAAAUGCACCAUCCGCUCUCACAAAUGUUUCUGCAUUGGGAUGGAUACAAAACAAUGGUCAGUACGAAACAAGGAUGUCCAAUGUCCCACAUACAUUGACUUGUAAUCAUGGUUCUAAAAAUCGGUUUAGACCCCGCCGAGGCAUUUGUUGCCGUCACCUCGGUUCUAUCCAAAACGAUUUUCUUAAAAUAUGAUUUUAUCGGUUUAAACUGUUUAGAUUUGUUAAAAUCGGACUAAAUCGAUCUAAAUUAAUUUAACUCUAUUAAAUUAAGUAAUAAAGUUAGUGCAAGUCCACAAAUUUGUAUAUUCUUUUUGUAUAUUUUGAUAAUUCAUUUAAAUAAUUUUAUAAUUAAUCCAAAAACUAAAACAUCUUAUAUAAAUAUAAAAUACAUCAAUUGUUCGUUAACCCCUAAUAGUUUAUAAUUAAUCCAAAUAACCCCUAGUUACCACCUAACAAUUUCUUGAACAUUGCUUGUGAUGGAAAUCAUAACAGGAGUACCUGGAUUUGUAUCAGCAAAUAUGCCGUACCACUGGUCAUCUGUAAUAAACGAUGUUGCUCUCUCAACUGCACCGAGGUAGACACCCGGUCCAAGGCUUGGAGGUAAAGGAUGAAACAUUUUCUGGCUUGGAUAGUCCAAAUCAACUGCCACAUGCCGGUUAGUAAGGAAACCGACCUGAUGGUUACCGGUUCUGCUUCUCACUAUAGCUCCCAACGUUCCAUACGUUUCUUGGCUUGCAA